Vespa mandarinia (Asian giant hornet) is the source of this 374-nucleotide long non-coding RNA. The record is from RefSeq and is a predicted model, not a curated record. Lineage: Eukaryota; Metazoa; Arthropoda; Insecta; Hymenoptera; Vespidae.
CCGAGUGGUUAAGGCGUCUGACUAGAAAUCAGAUUCCCUCUGGGAGCGUAGGUUCGAGUCCUACCGACUGCGUUGAAAAAAUGUUAACCGCAAAUUGCUUGCUGUGUGGUUUCACAUCGGGUAUAAUUGACUGAACUAAAACCCACUCGUUUUCUCUAAUUCUCCUUUUUUAUAAGUGCGCAUCUCAAAGGAAUAGGAAAAGAAAGUGCUAAAUAUUGGAAUAAUAUGCAUAGGUGUGUAUGCGAAGUGGUAAUAGGUAUCUUCAGUGAUAACAUCUUUAUGUAUGUAUAUGUGUAUGCGUACAUAAGCCAGCCAGUCAGCUCCCAUAAGAUAUCACGUGUAAAGUUCUCGAAGAAAAAAAAGAAGAAGAAGAA